CCUACGGGGGGCAGCAGUGAGGAAUAUUGGUCAAUGGACGAGAGUCUGAACCAGCCAAGUAGCGUGAAGGAUGACUGCCCUAUAGGUUGUAAACUUCUUUUAUAUGGGAAUAAAAUGUUCCACGUGUGGGAUUUUGUAUGUACCAUAUGAAUAAGGAUCGGCUAACUCCGUGCCAGCAGCCGCGGUAAUACGGAGGAUCCGAGCUUUAUCCGGAUUUAUUGGGUUUAAAGGGAGCGUAGGUGGAUUGUUAAGUCAGUUGUGAAAGUUUGCGGCUCAACCGUAAAAUUGCAGUUGAAACUGGCAGUCUUGAGUACAGUAGAGGUGGGCGGAAUUCGUGGUGUAGCGGUGAAAUGCUUAGAUAUCACGAAGAACUCCGAUUGCGAAGGCAGUUCACUGGACUGCAACUGACACUGAGGCUCGAAAGUGUGGGUAUCAAACAGGAUUAGAUACCCCAGUAGUC
RNAcentral lists this ribosomal RNA (460 nucleotides) under uncultured bacterium. Its description in RNAcentral is "partial 16S ribosomal RNA". It matches the Rfam family "Bacterial small subunit ribosomal RNA", at positions 338 to 795 of the family's 1533-position model. The record is from RNAcentral.